UACGUAGGGUGCAAGCGUUAUCCGGAAUUAUUGGGCGUAAAGAGCUCGUAGGCGGCUUGUCACGUCGAUUGUGAAAGCCCGAGGCUUAACCUCGGGUCUGCAGUCGAUACGGGCUAGCUAGAGUGUGGUAGGGGAGAUCGGAAUUCCUGGUGUAGCGGUGAAAUGCGCAGAUAUCAGGAGGAACACCGGUGGCGAAGGCGGAUCUCUGGGCCAUUACUGACGCUGAGGAGCGAAAGCGUGGGGAGCGAACAGG
RNAcentral lists this ribosomal RNA (253 nucleotides) under uncultured bacterium. Its description in RNAcentral is "partial 16S ribosomal RNA". It matches the Rfam family "Bacterial small subunit ribosomal RNA", at positions 524 to 776 of the family's 1533-position model. The record is from RNAcentral.